RNAcentral lists this unclassified non-coding RNA (316 nucleotides) under plant metagenome. RNAcentral's name for it is "partial contains 5.8S ribosomal RNA, internal transcribed spacer 2, and large subunit ribosomal RNA". The stretch from base 1 to 105 matches the Rfam family "5.8S ribosomal RNA", at positions 50 to 154 of the family's 154-position model. The record is from RNAcentral.
GAACUGCGAUAAGUAAUGUGAAUUGCAGAAUUCAGUGAAUCAUCGAGUCUUUGAACGCACAUUGCGCCCCCUGGCAUUCCGGGGGGCAUGCCUGUCCGAGCGUCAUUGCUGCCCUUCAAGCCCGGCUUGUGUGUUGGGUCGUCGUCCCCCUCGGGGGACGGGCCCGAAAGGCAGCGGCGGCACCGUGUCCGGUCCUCGAGCGUAUGGGGCUUUGUCACCCGCUCGAUUAGGGCCAGCCGGGCGCCAGCCGGCGUCUCCAACCUUAUUUUUCUCAGGUUGACCUCGGAUCAGGUAGGGAUACCCGCUGAACUUAAGC